Non-coding RNA from Erysipelotrichaceae bacterium, 71 nucleotides. The record is from Rfam. Lineage: Bacteria; Bacillati; Bacillota; Erysipelotrichia; Erysipelotrichales; Erysipelotrichaceae.
CUCGAUAUGCAACCGCUCAGAAAAGGUAUUAAGAAGCCUGGCUCACCUUUAUGGCGAGUAUCAACACAAUC